RNAcentral lists this ribosomal RNA (483 nucleotides) under uncultured bacterium. RNAcentral describes it as "partial 16S ribosomal RNA". It matches the Rfam family "Bacterial small subunit ribosomal RNA", at positions 28 to 507 of the family's 1533-position model. The record is from RNAcentral.
GACGAACGCUGGCGGCGUGCUUAACACAUGCAAGUCGAACGCUGAAGCUCAGCUUUUGUUUGGUGGAUGAGUGGCGAACGGGUGAGUAACACGUGAGUAACCUGCCUCCUUCUUUGGGAUAACGCCCGGAAACGGGUGCUAAUACUGGAUAUUCACUGGUCUUCGCAUGGGGGUUGGUGGAAAGGGUUUUUCUGGUGGGGGAUGGGCUCGCGGCCUAUCAGCUUGUUGGUGGGGUGAUGGCCUACCAAGGCCUUGACGGGUAGCCGGCCUGAGAGGGUGACCGGUCACAUUGGGAGUGAGAUACGGCCCAGACUCCUACGGGAGGCAGCAGUGGGGAAUAUUGCACAAUGGGCGCAAGCCUGAUGCAGCGACGCCGCGUGAGGGAUGGAGGCCUUCGGGUUGUGAAACUCUUUCGCUCAUGGUCAAGCCGCAACAAUGGUUGUGGUGAGGGUAGUGGGUAAAGAAGCGCCGGCUAACUACGUG